Molecule: unclassified non-coding RNA, 158 nt
Filed under: uncultured Cylindrocarpon
Lineage: Eukaryota; Fungi; Ascomycota; Sordariomycetes; Hypocreales; Nectriaceae
Description: sequence contains ITS1
Source: RNAcentral
CCGAGUUUACAACUCCCAAACCCCUGUGAACAUACCUAUCGUUGCUUCGGCGGACCACCCCAACCCCUUCGGGGCGCGGGGCCCGCCAGAGGACACCCAAAAUUCAAAUGUAUUUUGCCUUUACAAAUUUAUUCUGAGUGGAAUUUUUAAAUAAAUCA